This 431-nucleotide ribosomal RNA is filed under the name uncultured bacterium. RNAcentral describes it as "partial 16S ribosomal RNA". It matches the Rfam family "Bacterial small subunit ribosomal RNA", at positions 338 to 795 of the family's 1533-position model. The record is from RNAcentral.
CCUACGGGGGGCAGCAAUUAGGAAUCUUGCACAAUGGGCGAAAGCCUGAUGCAGCGACGCCGCGUGGAGGAUGACGGCCUUCGGGUUGUAAACUCCUUUUGUUGGGAAAACGGUACCCAACGAAUAAGCUCCGGCUAACUCCGUGCCAGCAGCCGCGGUAAUACGGAGGGAGCGAGCGUUGUCCGAAGUUACUGGGCGUAAAGCGCGCGUAGGCGGGAAAUUAAGUGAGAAGUGAAAGGCUGGGGCUUAACCCCUGCAGUGCUCCUCAUACUGGUUUUCUUGAGGGUGGUAGAGAGAAGUGGAAUGGCUGGUGUAGCGGUGAAAUGCGUAGAUAUCAGUCGGAACACCAGUGGCGAAGGCGGCUUCUUGGGCAUACUGACGCUGAGGCGCGAAAGUCAGGGGAGCGAACGGGAUUAGAUACCCUUGUAGUC